UUCCAUCGAGGUUAUGCUAACUUUUGGUAAUCUGCUUAAUUUUUGCUAUGGUGGUGAUGCUUGGAGUGAAUCGGUUUUUUAUUUUUAUUUUUGUUGGAAGC
Molecule: long non-coding RNA, 101 nt
Organism: Erigeron canadensis
Lineage: Eukaryota; Viridiplantae; Streptophyta; Magnoliopsida; Asterales; Asteraceae
Exons: 3
Source: RefSeq, a predicted model, not a curated record